Molecule: ribosomal RNA, 483 nt
Filed under: uncultured bacterium
Lineage: Bacteria
Description: partial 16S ribosomal RNA
Rfam family: Bacterial small subunit ribosomal RNA
Source: RNAcentral
AUUGAACGCUGGCGGCAUGCUUUACACAUGCAAGUCGAACGGCAGCGCGGGCUUCGGCCUGGCGGCGAGUGGCGAACGGGUGAGUAAUGCAUCGGAACGUGCCCAGUAGUGGGGGAUAGCCCGGCGAAAGCCGGAUUAAUACCGCAUACGACCUGAGGGUGAAGCGGGGGACCGAAAGGCCUCGCGCUAUUGGAGCGGCCGAUGUCGGAUUAGCUAGUUGGUGGGGUAAAGGCUUACCAAGGCGACGAUCCGUAGCUGGUCUGAGAGGACGACCAGCCACACUGGGACUGAGACACGGCCCAGACUCCUACGGGAGGCAGCAGUGGGGAAUUUUGGACAAUGGGGGCAACCCUGAUCCAGCCAUGCCGCGUGCGGGAAGAAGGCCUUCGGGUUGUAAACCGCUUUUGUUCGGGAAGAAAUCCUCUGGGCUAAUACCCCGGGGGGAUGACGGUACCGGAAGAAUAAGCACCGGCUAACUACGUG